AAUAAGUGUAGCCAUAAGUUUUUCGUACCAACUUUGAUCAUCCGUUUUAUUUGAAAUUUUUUUACUACUGGUGUUUUUAUUGUUAUUAGAUUAUAAAACAUGAAUAUAGUUUAUACAUGAUUUAUGUUUUUUAUUUUUUUCAAAACAAUUAAAUAAAACAGACGAUCAAAGUUGAACAAAGAAACUCAUGGCACCCAAGACA
This 202-nucleotide microRNA precursor is filed under the name Oryza rufipogon (brownbeard rice). RNAcentral's name for it is "MIR812 microRNA precursor family". It matches the Rfam family "MIR812 microRNA precursor family". The record is from Rfam by way of RNAcentral. Lineage: Eukaryota; Viridiplantae; Streptophyta; Magnoliopsida; Poales; Poaceae.